UACGGAGGGGGCUAGCGUUGUUCGGAAUUACUGGGCGUAAAGCGCACGUAGGCGGACUGUUUAGUCAGAGGUGAAAUCCCGGGGCUCAACCUCGGAAUAGCCUUUGAUACUGGCAGUCUCGAGUCCGAGAGAGGUGAGUGGAAUUCCGAGUGUAGAGGUGAAAUUCGUAGAUAUUCGGAGGAACACCAGUGGCGAAGGCGGCUCACUGGCUCGGUACUGACGCUGAGGUGCGAAAGCGUGGGGAGCAAACAGG
This 253-nucleotide unclassified non-coding RNA is filed under the name Alphaproteobacteria bacterium. Its description in RNAcentral is "contains 16S-23S intergenic spacer region". It matches the Rfam family "Bacterial small subunit ribosomal RNA", at positions 524 to 776 of the family's 1533-position model. Lineage: Bacteria; Pseudomonadati; Pseudomonadota; Alphaproteobacteria. The record is from RNAcentral.